CAGCCGCCGCGGUAAAACGGAGGGUGCAAGCGUUAAUCGGAAUUACUGGGCGUAAAGCGUGCGUAGGCGGUUCGUUAAGUCUGUUGUGAAAGCCCCGGGCUCAACCUGGGAAUGGCAAUGGAUACUGGCGAGCUAGAGUGUGUCAGAGGAUGGUGGAAUUCCCGGUGUAGCGGUGAAAUGCGUAGAGAUCGGGAGGAACAUCAGUGGCGAAGACGGCCAUCUGGGACAACACUGACGCUGAGGCACGAAAGCGUGGGGAGCAAACAGGAUUAGAUACCCCUGUAGUCCCUGUCUCUUAUAC
This 301-nucleotide ribosomal RNA is filed under the name uncultured bacterium. Its description in RNAcentral is "partial 16S ribosomal RNA". It matches the Rfam family "Bacterial small subunit ribosomal RNA", at positions 509 to 807 of the family's 1533-position model. The record is from RNAcentral.